GCUCUGGAGAAGCCCUGCGCGAGGCAGGGGGCCGAAGGUGCAAGGCGUAUAUGCGCUGAAACUCUCAGGCAAAAGGACAGAGGAGA
RNAcentral lists this non-coding RNA (86 nucleotides) under bovine gut metagenome. RNAcentral describes it as "Glycine riboswitch". It matches the Rfam family "Glycine riboswitch aptamer", at positions 9 to 86 of the family's 94-position model. From Rfam's summary of the family: This family represents the bacterial glycine riboswitch. Glycine riboswitches usually consist of two metabolite-binding aptamers domains with similar structures in tandem. The aptamers cooperatively bind glycine to regulate the expression of downstream genes. The record is from RNAcentral.